CCUACGGGUGGCAGCAGUGAGGAAUAUUGGUCAAUGGGCGGAAGCCUGAACCAGCCAAGUCGCGUGAGGGAAUAAGGCCCUACGGGUCGUAAACCUCUUUUGCCGGGGAGCAAGGGCGGGGACGUGUCCCGGCCCGGAGAGUACCCGGAGAAAACGCAUCGGCUAACUCCGUGACAGCAGCCGCGGUAACACGGAGGAUGCGAGUGUUAUCCGGGUUUAUUGGGUUUAGGGGGUGCGUAGGCGGGCUUUUAAGUCAGCGGUAAAAAUUCGGGGCUCAACCCCGUCGGGCCGUUGACACUGGGGGCCUUGAGUGGGCGAGAAGAAGGAGGAAUGCGUGGUGCAGCGGUGAAAUGCAUAGAUAUCACGCAGAACCCCGAUUGCGAAGGCAGCCUUCCGGCGCCCUACUGACGCUGAGGCACGAAAGUGCGGGGAUCGAACAGGAUUAGAUACCCUGGUAGUC
This 460-nucleotide ribosomal RNA is filed under the name uncultured bacterium. Its description in RNAcentral is "partial 16S ribosomal RNA". It matches the Rfam family "Bacterial small subunit ribosomal RNA", at positions 338 to 795 of the family's 1533-position model. The record is from RNAcentral.